CCCAGUAACCCUGACAGACCAGCCCUCAGGAAAAGCCACAUGGAUCAUAACUGCUGUCCCGUGGUUUGGAAUCACAAUCCGAGACAUCUUAAAGAUCUCAGAGCCCAGUGCAAAUCAAGAAAACUGCAGAGGAGGAGUUCUGGUGAAGCACAGGUAAAGGGGAGAACCGACUCUCUUAAAAAUCUGCAGUUUACGAAGGCAAGACCAGAAGAGAAAGCUGAAAAAAAAAAUGUGAUCAAAUAGAAAGCCCAGUCAAGUGAAGAGAAGCUUUUCAUUCAGUACAAUAGCACUUUAAAAUGUAUAAAAGCUACAGCAGUAUCGUCACUCUGUCUCCCAGAUGUGAAAAAAAUCACACCACGACCCUCAUCGUGACAACGAAGCAAUAUAAAAUUUAAUUAAAUCUCUUUAGAUGA
Molecule: long non-coding RNA, 413 nt
Organism: Ornithorhynchus anatinus (platypus)
Lineage: Eukaryota; Metazoa; Chordata; Mammalia; Monotremata; Ornithorhynchidae
Exons: 3
Source: RefSeq, a predicted model, not a curated record